This 500-nucleotide ribosomal RNA is filed under the name uncultured bacterium. RNAcentral's name for it is "partial 16S ribosomal RNA". It matches the Rfam family "Bacterial small subunit ribosomal RNA", at positions 30 to 523 of the family's 1533-position model. The record is from RNAcentral.
AUUGAACGCUGGCGGCAUGCCUUACACAUGCAAGUCGAACGGCAGCACGGGAGCAAUCCUGGUGGCGAGUGGCGAACGGGUGAGUAAAGUAUCGGAACGUGCCCAGUCGUGGGGGAUAACGUAGCGAAAGUUACGCUAAUACCGCAUACGAUCUAUGGAUGAAAGCGGGGGAUCGCAAGAACUCGCGCGAUUGGAGCGGCCGAGAUUGGAUUAGGUAGUUGGUGGGGUAAAGGCUCACCAAGCCGACGAUCUGUAGCUGGUCUGAGAGGACGACCAGCCACACUGGGACUGAGGCACGGCCCAGACUCCUACGGGAGGCAGCAGUGGGGAAUUUUGGACAAUGGGCGAAAGCCUGAUCCAGCCAUGCCGCGUGCAGGAUGAAGGCCUUCGGGUUGUAAACUGCUUUUGUACGGAACGAAAAGGUUUGGCCUAAUAAGCUGAGCUCAUGACGGUACCGUAAGAAUAAGCACCGGCUAACUACGUGCCAGCAGCCGCGGUAA